UACAGAGGUGGCAAGCGUUGUUCGGAAUUACUGGGCGUAAAGCGUACGCAGGCGGCUUUGCAAGACAGGUGUGAAAUCCCCGGGCCUAACCUGGGAACUGCAUUUGUGACUGCAUGGCUAGAGUUUGUCAGAGGGGGGUGGAAUUCCACGUGUAGCAGUGAAAUGCGUAGAUAUGUGGAGGAACACCGAUGGCGAAGGCAGCCCCCUGGGAUGUGACUGACGCUCAUGUACGAAAGCGUGGGGAGCAAACAGG
Molecule: ribosomal RNA, 253 nt
Filed under: uncultured bacterium
Lineage: Bacteria
Description: partial 16S ribosomal RNA
Rfam family: Bacterial small subunit ribosomal RNA
Source: RNAcentral